This is a long non-coding RNA of Ictalurus punctatus (channel catfish), 251 nucleotides long. RefSeq lists it as uncharacterized. NCBI's taxonomy places the organism in Eukaryota, Metazoa, Chordata, Actinopteri, Siluriformes, Ictaluridae. The record is from RefSeq and is a predicted model, not a curated record. The transcript is spliced from 2 exons.
AAUUAGAGAUUGUGGAUACAGUCACUAUUGAUACAUUUCCCAACGAGAUCAUCCUAAAGUCAUACGACAAGAGCUUUUGGUUUCACACUCAUAAGCAGAGAGACUUCAGAGCUGCUGGGCCAUUUACUGUCUCUCUAAGGGUGGUGAACUCAACAGUGGCCUGUUUAGGUACACUCUCUUACCAUCCAGACCCAGAAUUCACCAGCUUCACUACCUCUAAGGUGGUCAAUGAUGUGCUGGUCAUCAUACAG